GACGAACGCUGGCGGCGUGCUUAACACAUGCAAGUCGAACGAUGAAGAAGAGAAACGCGAGCUUCGGUUCAAAUUUCACUUCUGAUUAGUGGCAGACGGAUGAGUAACGCGUUAGCAACCUACCUCUUACAAAGGGAUAGCAUAGGGAAACCGUGCUUCAUACCAUUUGACACAUUCAUAAGGCAUCUUAAGAAUGUUAAAGGUACGGCGGUAAGCGAUUGGGUCGCGUCCGAUUAGCUUGUUGGUGCGGUAACGGCCCACCAAGGCGACGAUGGGUAACCGGGCGGAGGAGGUGAACGGUUAGAUUGGAACUGAGACACGGACCAAACGCCGACGCGGGGCUGCAGUAGGGAGUAUUGCACGAGGGAGGGUGCUCUAAUGCAGCGGCGUGGCGUGAGAGAGGAAGGAAUUCGUUUCGUAAAGCUCUGUUUUAUGAGAAGAAAAGGACGGUACCAUAGAAGAAAGCCCCGGCUAAAUACGUG
RNAcentral lists this ribosomal RNA (482 nucleotides) under uncultured bacterium. Its description in RNAcentral is "partial 16S ribosomal RNA". It matches the Rfam family "Bacterial small subunit ribosomal RNA", at positions 28 to 507 of the family's 1533-position model. The record is from RNAcentral.